Molecule: ribosomal RNA, 495 nt
Filed under: uncultured bacterium
Lineage: Bacteria
Description: bacterial SSU rRNA
Rfam family: Bacterial small subunit ribosomal RNA
Source: RNAcentral
CUACGAGAAAAGAGUAGCAAUAUUCUGAGUAAAGUGGCGCAAGGGUGCGUAACUCGUAAGCAAUCUACCUUUAGAAGAGGAAUAACCCAGCGAAAGCCGGACUAAUACCCCAUAAUGCAGCGGCACCGCAUGGUGAUGUUGUUAAAGUCUAUAUGACGUCUAGAGAUGAGCUUGCGUCUGAUUAGCUAGUUGGUGAGGUAACGGCUCACCAAGGCUACGAUCAGUAGCUGGUCUGAGAGGAUGAUCAGCCACACUGGAACUGAGACACGGUCCAGACUCCUACUGGAGGCAGCAGUGAGGAAUAUUGGGCAAUGGACGCAAGUCUGACCCAGCAACGCCGCGUGAAGGAUGAAUGUCGUAAGAUUGUAAACUUCUGUGAGAAGGGACGAAAAAACAGGCUCAUACCCUGUUCUGACGGUACCUUCAGAGGAAGCCCCGGCUAACUACGUGCCAGCAGCCGCGGUAAUACGUAGGGGGCUAGCGUUGUCCGGAUUU